CCGCCGGCGACCGGCGCACGGGUGAGUAACACGUAUGCAACCUGGCCGUGACAGAUGGAUAACCGGGAGAAAUCCCGCCUAAUACAGCAUGACGCCGUGGGAGGCCAUCCUCCCGCGGCCAAAGGGGCGACCCGGUCACGGAUGGGCAUGCGGCGCAUUAGGUAGUUGGUGGGGCAACGGCCCACCAAGCCGACGAUGCGUAGGGGUUCUGAGAGGAAGGUCCCCCACAUUGGAACUGAGACACGGUCCAAACUCCUACGGAAGGCAGCAG
RNAcentral lists this ribosomal RNA (271 nucleotides) under uncultured bacterium. Its description in RNAcentral is "partial 16S ribosomal RNA". It matches the Rfam family "Bacterial small subunit ribosomal RNA", at positions 85 to 354 of the family's 1533-position model. The record is from RNAcentral.